GUGGGUCCGGACCUGCUUGCUCUGAUCCCCGACAUGGACUGCGGCGUCAUCACCUCCAAGACCGUGCUGCUGCUGCUCAGCCUCGCCUUCUGGGCAGCAGCAGCUGGUCUUGGCUAUGUGGGGGGAUAUGUCAUCAACACCUACAAGAGCUAUGACAACUUUCUGCAGGACAAGUAUGCUCUGUUGCCAGCUGUGAUCAUUCUUUGUGUGGCUGUGGUGAUGUUCAUCAUUGGGUUCAUUGGCUGCUGUGCCACCUUCCGGGAGUCUCGAGUUGGCCUAGGUCUGUUCUUGGCCAUUAUCCUGGUUAUUUUUGUUGCUGAAGUAUCUGCUUUUGUCCUGGGAUUUGUUUACAGGGAAAAGGUAAAAACUGAUGUACAAGGCACAAUGCGCUCAGUCUUUGAGAGAUACGAUGGGAAAAAUCCUGAGUCUACCAUUGUGGAUUACUUGCAAGAACAGCUUCGUUGUUGUGGGGUGAAGAACUACAGCGACUGGACAACCACACAGUGGUUCAAUUCCACUGGUAACAACAGCGUCCCUCUGAGCUGCUGCAGGCAGGAGCUGAAGAACUGCACAGGGCGUCUGGACCAGCCUCAGGAGCUCAAUACUCGGGGCUGUGCAGAGGAGCUGGAGAAUGGCCUGCAGAAUGUUUUCAGCUAUGCUAUGCUUGUAAUCCUGGGGUUUGCCAUUGUGAAGUUCUUUGGCAUGCUGAGUGUCUGUGUGCUUACUUGCAAGAGAGAAGACACUGGAUAUCAGCCUCUUUACUCAGGGAUGUUUACUUAAUCAAGAAAAGUUACCUUUGCAUUUUUGCUUCCCUGAUGACGAGAUUGACUUGCAAAGAUGAACGCUAAAUGGACAAUAUGUUUAAUGUGGAAGUUGAGAAGCUACUGAGGCAAAUGCCAGCUAAAAGGUGGGAGUCAUGAGACGCAUUGGCUGAAGAUGGUUGUGUAGACAGGACUGCUGGAAGGAUUGGUGCAGCCACUUCUGUAUCAUUCAUGCCCUGACUGCUUUUCACCACGAAAAAUAUGGCAAUUGCUCCAGUAAUGAGGAGUUUCAAUGACCUAUAUUGUCCAGCAGCAUCAUGUGACUCCUGGUUUGAUUUAAAUUUUUUUUUCUCUCUUAAAGUUCUGCUGGCCAGAGUCAGGCCUUGGGUUGCAUUACUGCUUUAAAAAUGCUCUUUUAGCCCAUGUGUAUUGGUUUAGUUCUCAGUUAUUUAGGGGCUUGGGGAUUUGUUUUAGAGUUGAGGAAGGGAGGAAACUGCAACUUUUCUUCACUAGGAAAUUGCGGAACAGCAACAGCUCUUUGCUCAAAGUCAAAAAAAAAAAACCCAACUUUUUUUUUUCAGGAAAUCAGAAAAGCAAUUUAUUUUUUCCCCCUACAGACAAAAACAAAAAGGCAAUGUAUGAUGUUGAUGUUCUGUAUUGGACAUACCAAGUACCUGUAUGUCUUAAAAAGUGACUUAAGUUUUAUUGAGAGCUUUUGUCUUCUGUUA
RNA transcript from Indicator indicator, 1489 nucleotides. It is a transcript of the gene named tetraspanin-36-like, with no coding region annotated. NCBI's taxonomy places the organism in Eukaryota, Metazoa, Chordata, Aves, Piciformes, Indicatoridae. The transcript has 8 exons. The record is from RefSeq and is a predicted model, not a curated record.